GCUUCUAAAGGAUAAGAGUAAUCCAUUGGUCUUAGGAACCAAAAACUCUUGGUGCAAGUCCAAGUAGAAGCU
RNAcentral lists this transfer RNA (72 nucleotides) under Notolychnus valdiviae. RNAcentral's name for it is "tRNA-Leu (CUN)". It matches the Rfam family "tRNA". From Rfam's summary of the family: Transfer RNA (tRNA) molecules are approximately 80 nucleotides in length. Lineage: Eukaryota; Metazoa; Chordata; Actinopteri; Myctophiformes; Myctophidae. The record is from RNAcentral.